RNAcentral lists this ribosomal RNA (478 nucleotides) under uncultured organism. RNAcentral describes it as "partial 16S ribosomal RNA". It matches the Rfam family "Bacterial small subunit ribosomal RNA", at positions 331 to 800 of the family's 1533-position model. The record is from RNAcentral.
GUACACUCCUGCGGGAGGCAGCAGUGGGGAAUUUUGGACAAUGGGCGAAAGCCUGAUCCAGCAAUGCCGCGUGAGUGAAGAAGGCCUUCGGGUUGUAAAGCUCUUUUGUCAGGGAAGAAACGGUGAGAGCUAAUAUCUUUUGCUAAUGACGGUACCUGAAGAAUAAGCACCGGCUAACUACGUGCCAGCAGCCGCGGUAAUACGUAGGGUGCAAGCGUUAAUCGGAAUUACUGGGCGUAAAGCGUGCGCAGGCGGUUUUGUAAGUCUGAUGUGAAAUCCCCGGGCUCAACCUGGGAAUUGCAUUGGAGACUGCAAGGCUAGAAUCUGGCAGAGGGGGGUAGAAUUCCACGUGUAGCAGUGAAAUGCGUAGAUAUGUGGAGGAACACCGAUGGCGAAGGCAGCCCCCUGGGUCAAGAUUGACGCUCAUGCACGAAAGCGUGGGGAGCAAACAGGAUUAGAUACCCCAGUAGUCCCAUGA